CUGAUUCAAUCUUAUAAUGAAGGUAUCUAUAUUUAUGGAGCCUGAGUUACUUUUCAGUUUCACUAAUUUGGAUCAGGACUGUAUGUGUUGUGGUUGUGGGUGUUUAGUUUUUCGUGUUUCUGAUUUGCAACUGGUGCUUUGGUUACACACACAACUGCCAAUUUGGUGGUUUCUACCAAAGGGUUGAGUCUGAAUUUGGCAAUUAAGGGGGGCAGGGGCCUGACAGGUCCGGAAAUAGCCAAAUAUUGCUAGAAAUUAGAAUCAUUGCAAUGAUUGCACCAUCAAAUAUAUAUGGCAUUGUUUAAUUGAUUUCGGACGAAUAUUAUGCUUGAACUUUCUUUUACAAUUUUAAGAAUUGAUUAUUAAUUUAAAAUUUCGUGAUCUUUGAAUUUAGAGAUAAAAAAAAUACAGGCAAGUGCUAAGGAUCACUUCCAAAGGAUUUUUAAUGAUCAUGAAAAGCUUAAAUUGCAACUGGAGUCUCAGAAAAGUGAGCUUUCAAUGUUUAGGAAAUCCUACCUAAUGGCAUGUUUGAGCAAUUCAAUAUAUUUGUUGAAAUGUUAAUAUAUUACUGUUCUUGUUUGGUGCAUGUAUAAUUGGAAGAUUAAGAUUGCAUGUUUUAU
This 620-nucleotide long non-coding RNA is filed under the name Lathyrus oleraceus (garden pea). RNAcentral describes it as "Pisum sativum (pea) long non-coding RNA (PSAT_LNC019478)". Lineage: Eukaryota; Viridiplantae; Streptophyta; Magnoliopsida; Fabales; Fabaceae. The record is from RNAcentral.